UAGUACCUACGGGGGGCAGCAGUGGGGAAUAUUGGGCAAUGGGCGCAAGCCUGACCCAGCAACGCCGCGUGAAGGAAGAAGGCUUUCGGGUUGUAAACUUCUUUUGUCAGGGACGAAGCAAGUGACGGUACCUGACGAAUAAGCCACGGCUAACUACGUGCCAGCAGCCGCGGUAAUACGUAGGUGGCAAGCGUUGUCCGGAAUUACUGGGUGUAAAGGGAGCGUAGGCGGGAAAGCAAGUUGAAUGUUUAAGGUAUGGGCUCAACCUGUACAAGCGUUCAAAACUGUUUUUCUUGAGUGGAGUA
This 305-nucleotide ribosomal RNA is filed under the name uncultured bacterium. RNAcentral's name for it is "bacterial SSU rRNA". It matches the Rfam family "Bacterial small subunit ribosomal RNA", at positions 333 to 653 of the family's 1533-position model. The record is from RNAcentral.